This 158-nucleotide microRNA precursor is filed under the name Paramuricea clavata. Lineage: Eukaryota; Metazoa; Cnidaria; Anthozoa; Malacalcyonacea; Plexauridae. The record is from RNAcentral.
AUAUUUCGGACCUGAGUCUAGUUCUUUCGAUAUCAGUGUAAUCUAAUAAUCAUGAUAUUUCAAUGUAAUCUAAUAAUCAUGAUAUUUGCCAACACAGCAAAUAUCAUGAUUAUUAGUUUACACUGAUAUCGAAGGAACUAGACUCAGUUCAACCUCGU